GGGUUGUGAGGUUAAGCGACUAAGCGUACACGGUGGAUGCCCUGGCAGUCAGAGGCGAUGAAGGACGUGCUAAUCUGCGAAAAGCGUCGGUAAGGUGAUAUGAACCGUUAUAACCGGCGAUGUCCGAAUGGGGAAACCCAGUGCAAUUCGUUGCACUAUCGUUAACUGAAUACAUAGGUUAACGAGGCGAACCGGGGGAACUGAAACAUCUAAGUACCCCGAGGAAAAGAAAUCAACCGAGAUUCCCCCAGUAGCGGCGAGCGAACGGGGAGCAGCCCAGAGUCUGAAUCAGCUUGUGUGUUAGUGGAACGGUCUGGAAAGUCCGACGGUACAGGGUGAUAGUCCCGUACACCAAAAUGCACAGGCUGUGAACUCGAAGAGUAGGGCGGGACACGUGGUAUCCUGUCUGAAUAUGGGGGGA
This 421-nucleotide ribosomal RNA is filed under the name Klebsiella pneumoniae. RNAcentral's name for it is "partial 23S ribosomal RNA". It matches the Rfam family "Bacterial large subunit ribosomal RNA", at positions 1 to 452 of the family's 2925-position model. Lineage: Bacteria; Pseudomonadati; Pseudomonadota; Gammaproteobacteria; Enterobacterales; Enterobacteriaceae. The record is from RNAcentral.